AGGUGUAGUGGUGGGCGCCUGUAAUCCCAACUACUUGGGAGGCUGAGGCAGCAGAAUCGCUUGAACCCGGGAGGCGGAGGUUGCAGUGA
Saimiri boliviensis boliviensis (Bolivian squirrel monkey) is the source of this 89-nucleotide microRNA precursor. The record is from Ensembl. Lineage: Eukaryota; Metazoa; Chordata; Mammalia; Primates; Cebidae.